RNAcentral lists this long non-coding RNA (1032 nucleotides) under Cricetulus griseus (Chinese hamster). Its description in RNAcentral is "lncRNA (ENSCGRG00015037216.1)". Lineage: Eukaryota; Metazoa; Chordata; Mammalia; Rodentia; Cricetidae. The record is from RNAcentral.
AGAAAUGAUUGUAUUUCAAUGUAUAAUUUAUAUACAUCCUAACAUUAAAACAAAGUAAAUACAAACACAUAAUAUUUCAUUUGACACACAUGAUGAGUUGCUUACACACUCAUUACAAAUGAGCUUAUAAACAAGUAACAGAUACUCAGCAUGGAAACUCAAACAGAACACAUAAAAAUGAAUAGCAUGAUGAUUUAAUAUUAAAUAAAUAGUAUGUUACAAUAUUAUAUUACCAGUAACCACAAUAAAUGUACUAUUAACUAAAUAAUGGUCAAAUCCAUUAAUUCUUAAGUCAUUUGCUCAAAAUGUAGAUUUGAUAUACUUUGGCAUGUUACUUCAAAGCAAUAGAAAUUAUUUGAACUAUUUGUAAGAUUCAUAUUUCCAUAUGAACAUACUUGCUAUGUAGAAAAUGUAAAGCUAUUACCUAAACUCAUGAGAGGCAAUUACAAAUAUGUAUGAAAAAUGUUCCAAAUAGUACUAGAGAACUCCAUAAACUUUGGUUAACACAGUAUGUUAAAAUUAGGAGGAACUUAAUAUGAAAUAAUAAAGCUUCAUAUACUACUGUGAACUUAGCACAUGGUUAAAUUUCUAUAAUUUCACCAAUCAGGAAGUUGUGUGAGUUCAAAGUUCAGGCUGUGCUACAUAAACCAUUGGAAAAGGAAUAUCAAAAUGAAAACUUCUUUUAAAAAGUUCAUAAUCAAUUAUAAUUAACUUCAAAUCAGCCUCAAAAUUAUCAUGAAAUGAUUGUUAUGAGAAACACUUCAUACUUAAGAAAACAAUGUGAUGAAGCCAAUGUCACUUCCAUCAUACUAUUUUGAUCCAUGUAGUUUUGUCUUUAUUUCUUGAGCUAAUCCAACAGCAGCAAUGAAAAUGCCUCAAAAAAAUUGUCUUCAAAGAAUCCAUUAGUCUCCGUCAAUUUGCUUCAAUUUUAAUGAUUGUGAAGACUACUUACACCACACAUGAGACAUUUUUUCAGUUAUGAAGGUUAUAAUUGUCUUUUUUUUGGUGAUCACCUGAAAGCACAGAUCACCU